GUGUGUGUCUGUGUAUGUGUGUGCGCGCGUGUGUGUAUAUGUCCUUUUUUUUUUUUUACUUUUUUACAUCACCUUCUUACACCUAGUGCUCGGCCGCCGGAACCUUGUUGCCAGGGGAGACGGCCGCUUUACGGCAGCACGUUUGAACCGGCAGGAGGGAAAAGUUUCUUCUUCGCCCCGCUUGGGCGCGACGCAGGUUAAUACGGGAAGAAAUCGUGCAUCGUAUUUGCAGGCAGAUUCACUGGAGAGUGAUCCCAGGCGCCAUUUCAGAUUUCAUUGAGUGACAGAGUCCUGAAAUUCCAGGAUCUUGGACCAUUUAUUGUAGAUGUCUGCUGGCUUCUGCCCGAGAAUGAAAACAAUUUGUUCUGACGGAGGAUAAUCCCUUCGGAGGGUGCACCACCAGCUGGCCGUGUCGAGGGCCAAGGUGCAUCGUUCCUAGAAGCAGGAUGUGGUCAUGUGCCAAAGUCAGCAGAAACAAACAAAUAACCAUGUCAUACCCUCCAUCCAAAGUCUAGUCUUCCCACCAUGCCCAAACAGAAAUAAAAACAGGAUGCGGGAGCCACAUCUAAAUCAAGCGUUUAGUGCAAACAUUUGCACACCUUGGAAUGAUCUUUGAGUUUUUCAAGGGAAGAACACCCUGGGAAGCAUCUCAUGGACAUCUGGGGACAUUUUGUGGCAUCUGUUUUGCAAGCCGGGAAGAAUAAAUCCUACACUUAAAAGCAUUGGGAUCGUUUGCGCCAUACGGCUGAUGACAGUGAAUUUCUCUCUCACUCACUCUCUUUGAUAUGGUGAAUCCACAGUCAAAUAUCUAGCAGGGUUUGUCUCAGUCAUCUUUAAGAUGAACUCCCCACAGUGAGACAAUAUUCUCUUUCAGUGGAGGUCAGCAGGGCAUGGCUUCUUGAUCGUCGUACUCCUUCAGCCAUUUACAAAAAAAGGAGGUCAAAUAAACAACAAUAAUAAGGACUUUCUGCAUCCAGCCUGCUUUACUCUGGUGCAGGCAAGUUAAUACAGUCUGAAGGUAAUUUUUAGACACCUUUGGCAGGUGUCGGCUUUGAGGAAGUUGAUAGCACACUCUCAAGAUCAGACGUAAGAUAGCUGGAAGGGAUUGUGUGAUUACUGGUGCUUCCAGACCGCUGCUAUUUUUUGGUGGGAUUCAGUCACCUCACAACAAAAUCAGGUUGUGCAACGAUAGCUGACUGGGAGGUCUUGCACAACAAACCCACUUCCCCCAAAGAUUAGACGUUUUUCAAUAAAGAAAGUAACAGGAAAAUGCAGUGGAAAGUGUAGGAUGAUGUUUGCUUUGAAGUAAUGUUUAAAUUCCCCACAAACAAAGUAGAAUACAUGCUCAUUUAAUAGUCGAUGUUGUCUAAUCUCCCUGAAAACAAAUCGGAGUGAAUGGUCAAGAAUCAGGUCUUGGGCAACUAUGUCAAUUUUGGUUUCUCUCAGUUUUUCAUUUUUAAAUCUUAAAUUCAGUUCUCCAUAUUUUACACAUCAGUUUUAGCAUUUUUUUAAAAAAGUCCUCAUGAAAAUUUAUUUAUUGCAUUUAUACCCCACCUUUUCCUCAAGAUGUUCAAGGUGUUGUACAUCGUUCUCCUUCUCAUUUUAUCCUCACAAUAAGCCUGUUUACACCAACCCCCUCCCUCCAAAGAUGGCCGACAGCAAUGGAUCAUUUGGGCAAGAACAUUUUUGAAACUUCAAGGUUGCUUGCAAACUUAACACCAUUGCAACACAUUCUUUUGUGCUUUCCAAGUAGUUGAUUAGCUAAAAUCAAAGUGGGGGAACCAUUGUUUUGCAGCAACUAAAACUGCUUGUUUGAUGUAUAUCUACUGUCUUCAGAAAGGGCUGUGCACAGUGACUCCCCAUCCACACACAUUGCAGCAUCUUUUAAAGCCUCUUAGCAGCACGGAAGAAUUCACCCCUCCCAAGUUGGGAGUGUUUACCUUGAAGCUGACUGAAUUCACCUUUAGCCGAUCCCAGCAGAUGGUUUUGCAUUAAACAUCUUGCUUGCUUGAGAAACUUCCCUCCCUUGCGUACUGAUCCAGCAACACACCACACCUUUUCUGCAAUGUGCACAACUCCAGAUAAGAAUUGUGAGUGGCGAUUCAUGAAUUGUGUAAGUUCAGAGUUCAGCUUGGCCCAGCUCCCUGAGUCAGGCCAGAUUUGGGGUUAUUAAAGAAAACAUGCCAAACCACAGCAUUACCUUAUUCCCACCUGCAAUCAUAAAUAUAUCCCGUGUUUCUUUAAAGUUUUGAGUUCACCAAAAGGUUUAGGUGGCUCAGUGAACAUUUUCACUGGAGAAGUCCCAUUAAAACAAAUUGAAUUGCAGUAAAUGUCAGCUAGUCAAUGGAAUCAUUCCUUUGUAAAAUUUGGCCAGAGUUCAAAGUCAAAUUCUAGUCAACUGGGUUCACGCAGUUCAGAGGUGCAAUAAAGCUCAACUUGCAGUGUAGAAGUAGGACCACCCUGAAUUCAUUUCUGUCCAAAAGGCAGAAGAGCUCCCAAAAUCUGUGUGGCUGCCCUGUGUGUGGUGAAUGUGUGAACUGCAGUUAGCGGUCUUCUCCAUGAAGAACCUUCUGGACUGACUCCACCCACCCAACCUGACCCAUUGCCUCUGGGUAGGAAGGAGAAUAAAGGGCUUCUUUUCCCAGCUGAAUGUUGCUUGAGCAACAAGGCCAAUGUGAGUGUUGUUGAUUUAUCUCACUUGUGUCUGCGGCCCUGCCUUCUGGUUUGCUCUCUAAUCUGGGUUGGUCUUCAAUUCUGACUCCCACUUCCAGUCUCCCAACUCACUCCAGACCAGUCUUUCGAACGAACCAGGCCUUUUUUCCAAUUGGAACAUUCCAGAAUACAUUCGGCACCUGUCAGGUGGGCGUCAUUGCCAUUAUAAGACAACAAUGGUGGCAUUCAUGGUGAGUUCUGGCACCUUUUUUAAUGUAGAAAAAUAGCACUGGAAUGAACUGAUUCAGUUCAGCUAAUUCACCAAAUUGAUUAAAAAAAUCUCUGAAUUACACAUGAAAGUAGUUCUUAUAACUUCUGGGUGAACCAAAUCUUUUGUGAUGGAACUUUGGGAAAUUUUAAAUUGAAUUCCGUUUUAAUUUUAAUUCAAUAAUUUAUAUUUAUACUUUAUACUUA
This is a long non-coding RNA of Podarcis raffonei (Aeolian wall lizard), 3126 nucleotides long. RefSeq lists it as uncharacterized. The transcript has 3 exons. The record is from RefSeq and is a predicted model, not a curated record. Lineage: Eukaryota; Metazoa; Chordata; Lepidosauria; Squamata; Lacertidae.